GAGAAGGACAUUGAAGGAGGGGAUGUGGUAAAAGCUCAAAAUUGAAGGGAUUGGUAGCUCCCGACUUGCUUAGCCUUAAUUUUUAUUUUAUUUGUUGAUGGGUAUGUGGGCAAAACUGUUUGGUCCAACGUCUGCUGUCUAUCCCUAAUUGUACGGAGAGAAGUCAAGAAAUAACCAUGUUACUGGAACUUUGGAGUCACGUAGGCUUGACCAGAACAGAAUCUUCAGAAGAAGGAUCCCGACCUGAAACGACAACUUUCCUGCUCCUCUGUUGCUGCCUGGCCUGCUGUGCUCCACUGGGUCCACACUGAGUUCCCUCUACCCACACACACAAUUUUGACUGGAAAAAAAGCCAACCUUUCAUUUGCCUUAAAAGUAAAACAAAGACAAAAAUUGCAAAUAAUUCUGAAACAAAAACAAAAAUUGCUGGAGAAACUCAGCAAGUCUAAAGCAUCUUUGGGGAGAAAAACAGAGUUAAGGUUUCAAAUCCAGUUAUUCUGUCAGAACUUCUGCUCCAAAUGUGUUUAAUUACAUCUCUGAACAAGUUGAAUAGAAAAAUCUCCAGUACUGCCCGUUUUGCACCACUGACCAAGAUGAAUAUCCUCACAUGUUCAAUUGAUUCAAUCACACUUUCCAGUAUAACAAAAUUACAGACAUCAGCAUACAAUUUAGAAAUGCAGACUAUUCUGAAGGUUCCCCUCCCUUUACAGAAUCCAGUCGAUUCCUAAAUUAUGUAUGUUUUUUGCACUACACUACCUGGGAUUCUAUUCUGUAUUAAUAUUUUUGUGUAUAUCAUUACUUCUUGUUAACAGUCGUAAAAAUACUCAUUCUAUCACAUCACAUCAUAUCAUUUUCCCUGCAAUUGAUAACAAGCAGCUCUGAACAUUCUCUGAUAAGAAAGGUAUUCAAACUGACGAAAGGCCAUACCAAAGCUGCCAAAACAAUUCAAUAAGUGGCUGUUCAAUGACUUGAAAGUCCAAUGAUUCCAAAACCCAAACGUCCCCUGAUUCACUCUUGGUUUGUGUUGACUUAUUUGAUCAUAAGCAUCCUACAACUGACAGUAGAAGCACCAUUUGAAAAUUGAAUAACUAACUAAACAGUGAAUGAACACCACAACUGGUAGAUCUAGGUUCUGUGGCAUUUGAUUUGGUCUACCAUGAAUUUAAAUCAAUAUGCACCAAGUGGCAACAUAGUCAAGUCCAUUUCAUUAAUUUAUUUUUCAUGAAGUGACUGCAACAAGAAGUUUGUUAAAAAGUUGUUGUGGAGUUUUAUGAUCUUGAUAGAAUGAUUGGAAUGUCAUUUGACCGCCCUGGAAUCAAGAAAAAUUAACUAAUACUGCUUUAGCCACUGUUUAAAAUUGCUAGUCAUGGUCCAUUUCUAGUCAGUGGCAACCCCCAGAAUAUUGAUAGUUGGAGAUUCAACUAUGAAUGAUAAUGCAUCAUGGGCAGAUGGUUGAAUUCUGUAUUGUUGGAGAUGGUCAUUACUUGGCACUUGUGUAUUGCAAAUGCUCCUUUCCACUUAUCAGCCCAAGUCAGGAUCUUGCUGCAUUUGGACACUGACUGUUUCAGUAUCUAAGGAGAUAGCAAGAACUGCAGAUGCCGGAGUCAGAGACAAUACAGUACGGAGCUAACAACAACACCUUCCAGUCACCAACCAUUUUAACUCCUCCUCCCACUCCCUGGGUGACAUGUCUAUCCUGGGCCUCCUUCAGUGUCACAAUGACACCACCCACAAACUGGCAGAGCACCACCUCACAUUCUGCCUUGGGAGCCUACAGCUCAAUGGCCUAAACACUGAUGUCACCAGUUUUAAAAUCUCCCUAUGCCCGGCCUCAUCCCGUGUCUAACCCUCCCUCUCAUCCCCCCUCCUUGACCUGACACAAUUUGUCGAUCUUCUAUCUACCCAACACAUCACACCGACCAAUCCCCCCACUCCCUACCUGCACGCACCUAUCACCAUCCCACCUACCUUCCCCAGCCCCACCCCUCUCUCUAUUUCUGAGCUCCCUUGCUCCUUCCCAUUUCUGAAGAAGGUCCUGACCCAAAACGUCAACUUUCCUGCUCCUCUGAUGCUGCCUGGCCUGCUAUGUUCCUCCAGCUCCAUACUGUGCUACCUCAGUAUGUAAGGAGCUAUGAUGGCUCUGAAUAUUGUGUAAUCAUCCAUAAACAUGCCCCUUUCUGACCUUAUGAUGAAGGGUGCAUAAUUGUUGAAACAGCUGAGGAAUUCCUGCAGUGAUUUCUUGUGGCUAAGAUGAUUGAUCACCAACGACCACAGACAUCUUACUUUACGUUAAAUAUGACUCCAAGUAACAAAGAGCUUUCCCUCUGAUUCCCAUUUGGCUAGGGUUUCUUGGUGCCACACUUGUUCAAAUGUUGCCUUAAUGUCAAAGGCAAUCACCCUCACUUUCCUUCACAGGUUCAUCUCUUUUAUUCAUGUUUGGACCCAGCCUAUAAUGAGGACAGUAACUCAGUGGGCCAGACAAACUGAGCGACAGUGAGUAGGUUAUUGCUGAGUAAGUACUGCUUUGCUCACUGCAGGUUACACCAGGUGAAUAUAGCAAAUUUUCCCAAUCCAAAGGGCAUUCAUGAACCAGAUGUUUUUGGCAAUUACUUCAUGCUUACCAUGAAAUUAGCUUUUAGUUCCAGAUUUAUUCACUAAGUUCAAGUUGAACAUUGUUGGAUUUGAACCCAUGUCCCAAGAGCUUUAGCCUAGAUAUCUGGAUUACUAGUCUAAUGACAACACUAGUAUAUCACCUAUGAUAUUGAUAGAUCAUCCAUCUCCCCAUGAUCUUUUUCAGAUAAAUAAUGUUGUAGGAUCUCUCCAUUCACAUAAAAAUACAGAUCAGACCUUAAUUGCUGAUCUAAAAUAUAACAUUUCCAACAAUGCAGCACUCUCUAUGCCUUUUGAAGUAUCAGCUAGAUGAUAUGUUCAAGCCCAGGAGCAAGCUUUAAGGUUGAAGCCGCUGACUUAAAGAUGAGAAUCAACUGAGCUAAACUGACCUCAAAGAAAGAGAAAUCCUGUCCUGAAACUAUCUGUCUGUAGUAGACAGUAGUGUAUCACUCCCUGAUGUGAUAUUAAGAAGAUGAUACACACAUUGCUCCUUUCCUCCUAUUGGCACCGGAGUAGGAUGCUUCAGCAGGAGGUCAUCCACUCUAUCCAUUUCUUUCCUAUUUCUUUCUCUUUUUUUUCUCUCCUGGUGUUUCUUUUCUUCACACGCGGCCUCAAUGCAGACCCAGUGAGGUCUCCUCUCAGCCUCUGGCAGUCUCUCGGCUGAGUCUCUUGGUGGCCCAUGGCAGUUUCUCGGCCCAAUGUAGUGGUGCCUUGGCCCCAUCUCUCAGCAGCCCAUGCUGGUUUCUCAACCUAGUAUGGCAGUGUCUUGGCCCCGUCUCUCAAUGGCCCAUGGCAGUCUCUCAGCUUGGCAUGGCAGUGCCUCACCCUGGAAUCUCGGCCCAGUGUGGCAGAAUCUCCCCCCACCCCACCAAUGUGAGGGACGCCAUAGAUUGGGUAGUCCCUGUACUCCUAAUCUUCUGGCAUUAUUGCUACAGUGGAAAUCCAAUUCUUUUCUUCCCUCUGCACAGAGGCCAGUAAAAUCAACAGUAGUAUCACUCAGGUUAAGAUUUGCAAACUAUUUGGGAUAUUUCUGGUCUGUUUAGAUCACCUAUUCACUGUUUUCAGAAACUGAGUUAUAGCAGGAGCCAUGUACUAUCUGAGAUGAAUUACCUUACUCCCAUACUGCGACUGUGGACAUCACAAGUAACAUGCAUUAGACAAGGUGGAGUCCCCACCAUUGAAACUGGGUACCACAUGUUAUGGC
Molecule: long non-coding RNA, 3814 nt
Organism: Stegostoma tigrinum
Lineage: Eukaryota; Metazoa; Chordata; Chondrichthyes; Orectolobiformes; Stegostomatidae
Exons: 3
Source: RefSeq, a predicted model, not a curated record